Molecule: RNA transcript, 3228 nt
Organism: Oncorhynchus masou masou (cherry salmon)
Lineage: Eukaryota; Metazoa; Chordata; Actinopteri; Salmoniformes; Salmonidae
Gene: acad11
Gene name: acyl-CoA dehydrogenase family, member 11
Exons: 3
Source: RefSeq, a predicted model, not a curated record
CCUCUGGGAUCUGUUAUAGUUCGGCUGUUAAAGACCAACACGCUCUGUUUAUCGCGGUGUUGUGACGAGCUAAUUGCUUUCUGCCCGUGGCAAAGAUUAUUGGAGAAAAUGAGAAUAGGCUUCGAAACACUCCUCCUUCUCCUUGGUGACGUUCUGUUGAUGUUUGUUUUAAUUCUGGGUGCUGUGAGAGCAUGUCAGGACUUGUUUAGGACUUGCCACCAGGGCUCACCCUCUGCUCUACUCUAACCUUGAUCAUAUUAAUCACUUAUAUAAGUGUCGCAUGCAUGCACACGCACGCAUGCACGCACACACACACACACACACACACACACACACAUCAUGAAACCCCAGGUUUCCCCUGGGAUAACAGGCUUUCCAAGAAAAACCUCAGGAUCGGGCAGUGACCAGCAGUGUCUGCCUCCCAGCCGUCGACGACCUUGGCAUCAGAGAAACGGAAUGAAAGAAAGAGCUCACUUUAGCCACCGCUUACUAAAAGUCAACGGAAGCAGCGGGCGGUGCUUGUCAGUGUGGCUGCUUAACCUCACAGGACAACAAAAGCACUGUGCAUCAUCGUGGAUGGGAGUGAGAUUCAGAAUGGUUGUGGGCUAUCGCACCUGGACAAGGAGUUGGUGGCCCACUGGAAAGCAGAGUGUGGCCUGGCCAUAGACUGGACUCUCCUGCUGACCCUGCAUUCUGCUCACACCCUGGAUACGCUGGGCAGCAGGACCGCCAGGAAACAGCCAACACACACCUAAUUAGCAGAACAAACCAUGUAAUUGUCUCCCAAAUUGUCUCCCAAACUGUUAUGUGACAGUUUUAAAUAUACUGGUCUAUAUAGACUGGUGCCCCGUGUAUAUAGACAAGACUCAUUAUGUAUUAUUACUUUUAUUAUUACAUUUUGUACUUUUCUAUUAUUUCUCUAUUAUCUUUCUCUCUGUAAUGUUGGGAAGGGCCCGUAACUAAGCAUUUAACUGUUAGUCCACACCUGUUGUUUACGAAGCAUGUGACAAAUCAAUUUGUUAUUUCAUUGAUUUGAUACUACAUGUAAUAUUGCCUGUUUGAAACAGACCCCCUCGGUAUGUAAAUGUGUGUCGGAAACCGUCAGAAGAUGUCAAUGAAUUGUGAAUAUGAAUUACAGCCUUCUGCUUCCUGCUUGGAAAGGUCAGUCUGACAUGGCUCCCUCGUGUCACUUGUUUCGUUGACACCGGCAUAAACAGACACACACACACACACACGCAGGCAUGUACCAACGCAUGCACUCUCAUACACACACACACUAGAUUGUAUUCCCAGCUCGCCAAUCCCUAUCUGCACUCGAAACCAAACCACAGAGCGAGUCAAAGGAGUCAUCCACAGUAUCUUUAUAAUGGGACUCUAUAAUAUGAUUGACAUGUUAUCAGCCUCUGAUGGCAUGAGAGCUGCACUGAGGUACCCUGACAGGAGAGGUGAUGAUAAGGUGAAUGGAGGAUAGAGGAGAUGGAUGGAUGAUGGACCCGAGGGUAGAUGAGUACAUGGUUUCAUCCCAAAAUGGCACCCUAUUCCGUACAUGGUGCACUACUUUUGACCAGAGCCCUAUGGGUCCAGAUCAAAAGUAGUGCACUAUAUAGGGAAUAGGAUGCCAUUUGGGAUGCGCACUGUGAGGUGAGUGAGGGAGCAAUGGAAGGGAAUGUGCAGCCAACGUCUGAUCCAAUACGGGGGAGAAGGGAGACAACAGAGAGGGGGUAUGUGUCAGAAGAAUUAUGACAGCGUGACCCGUGUCUGAGGUCAGACGGACUGAGGAGACACUGCAGGAAUACAGAACAGAUCAGCUUUCUCCUCUGUUGUCGCUCGCAUCUCCUAUCGUAUCACAUCUCACUGCCAUGAUACUGUAGGGUUGGACAAAUAGUAGCUCUGGUCCAGGGGUCACGUGCAGUUUGCUGACACUGAGAAGGCUCAGCUUCAGGAAUCUGCACUGGGAUCAGAGCUAGACAAAUAAGGUAGUAGUUAUUCUACUAAUGUGAUCAAGGCAAUGGAAUGCUAGGAAACACAUGGGCCUUUCCCGAUGAUAAGGUUUCAGUACCACGUACAGUCAUCAGGAGUUGAAAUAACUUGGAAUGGCUGUGCAAAUGGAACCGGAGUCUAACCUGAAGCCUAUUCACCACUGUGUGCGCGUGCGCAUAUUGAGUGUAAAGUCCAAGUGUGUGACUAUGUUUUUCUGUCACAACUAUCCCGCCACUCCAAUGCUUGUGUUCUAUCUAUCAGACCCACGGCGUGGGUGAUUUACCCACAAUGCUGAGUCCUGCGGGGCUGCAAGUAACGCUCCGCUCGCGCUCGGCUCCACACCUGAUGUCCUGCUGGUAGCUGUCACAGCAGCACACACACACCACUACCAUGUAGUACACCUAUUCCCUAUGUAGUACACCUAUUCCCUAUGUAGUACACCUAUUCUCUAUGUAGUACACCUAUUCUCUAUGUAGUACACCUAUUCUCUAUGUAGGGCACCUAUUCCCUAUAUAGUGCACCUAUUCCCUAUGUAGUGCACUGCUUUUGACCAGAACUCUGAUGUCUGUCUCUCUCCCUAUGUAGUGCACUUUGUAGGGAAUAGGGUGCCAUUUGGACGGCACUCCUUCCUCAGUGCUACUGUUUCUCUCCGCGGGAGCUGGAUACGGAUAAAUAACAUUAAUAAUGUACAGAGAACAGUAAAAUGCUAAGUGGAUAUGCAUAAUACAUUACCUUAUUAUUUUGUCUUUGGUGCUAUUAAGAGAAUGUUUUCUCUUGUCUGAAAAGCACAACAAUGGUGACAUAAAUGCUUCUUCGUGGGGCUUUGUGGGCUUUGAUCAUAGAAGGAGGGGACUGACAUAAAUCCAGCUGAGAGUGAAGAUGGACCAAAUAUGGACACUGUAAAGGAUGGCUGGAUUAGGCUCGCUACUUUAUUUAGGUAGCACAAACCUUGCUACCCCUGUUAAUUUCCUAAUAAUAGUAUUUUCCGUAGAUCGCCAUGAUUAAGGUGGUUGCUGCCAGGUUGGUGUGUAAAGGUGGUGGACUGCACCAUCCAGGAAUAUCGGCAUGCGGGUGUAUCUGGAGACUUCCCCCCUUCCUCUGAAAGUGUUUUCAGACCCCUUCACUUUUUCCUCCAUUUGUUCAAUUACAGCCUUAUUCUAAAAUGUAUGAAAUAUUUUUUCCCCCUCAUCAAUCUAGCUAGACAUCAUGACGAAGCAGAAACAGAUUUUUUUUUCUUUCAUUUUUGCA